AUUGAACGCUGGCGGCAUGCCUUACACAUGCAAGUCGAACGGUAACGCGGGGCAACCUGGCGACGAGUGGCGAACGGGUGAGUAAUGCAUCGGAACGUGCCCAGUAGUGGGGGAUAGCCCGGCGAAAGCCGGAUUAAUACCGCAUACGACCUACGGGUGAAAGCGGGGGACCGUAAGGCCUCGCGCUAUUGGAGCGGCCGAUGUCAGAUUAGGUAGUUGGUGGGGUAAAAGCCUACCAAGCCAACGAUCUGUAGCUGGUCUGAGAGGACGACCAGCCACACUGGGACUGAGACACGGCCCAGACUCCUACGGGAGGCAGCAGUGGGGAAUUUUGGACAAUGGGCGCAAGCCUGAUCCAGCCAUGCCGCGUGCGGGAAGAAGGCCUUCGGGUUGUAAACCGCUUUUGUCAGGGAAGAAACGCUCUGGGUUAAUACCUCGGGGUAAUGACGGUACCUGAAGAAUAAGCACCGGCUAACUACGUG
RNAcentral lists this ribosomal RNA (482 nucleotides) under uncultured bacterium. RNAcentral describes it as "bacterial SSU rRNA". It matches the Rfam family "Bacterial small subunit ribosomal RNA", at positions 29 to 507 of the family's 1533-position model. The record is from RNAcentral.